GCCAGACUCCUACGGGAGGCAGCAGUCGGGAAUAUUGCGCAAUGGAGGGAACUCUGACGCAGUGACGCCGCGUGCAGGAAGAAGGUUUUCGGAUUGUAAACGGCUUUAGACAGGGAAGAUAAUGACAGUACCUGUAGAAUAAGCUCCGGCUAACUACGUGCCAGCAGCCGCGGUAAUACGUAGGGAGCAAGCGUUAUCCGGAUUUAUUGGGUGUAAAGGGUGCGUAGACGGGAAGGCAAGUUAGUUGUGAAAUCCCUCGGCUUAACUGAGGAACUGCAACUAAAACUAUCUUUCUUGAGUGCUGGAGAGGAAAGUGGAAUUCCUAGUGUAGCGGUGAAAUGCGUAGAUAUUAGGAGGAACACCAGUGGCGAAGGCGGCUUACUGGACGAUAACUGACGUUGAGGCUCGAAAGCGUGGGGAGCAAACAGGAUUAGAUACCCCCGUAGA
RNAcentral lists this ribosomal RNA (447 nucleotides) under uncultured bacterium. RNAcentral's name for it is "bacterial SSU rRNA". It matches the Rfam family "Bacterial small subunit ribosomal RNA", at positions 330 to 794 of the family's 1533-position model. The record is from RNAcentral.